CUUCGGUGGCCCAGGGAGGGCCUCAGUCUGGACUAGAGCCCCGGUGACCUUCGCGCUUGAGUCAGCCCCGCGCUCGCCCGCCACCCCACGUUUCUUUAUGCCCACGGCUUCUAGAUGUGACUGUCCUAGCUAAGACGCCUGAGAGGCUAAGGCUUCCUUGCGCCCUCACGUGGGCAGGGCUCGCUAGUUUGCCGACAUCCUGGGGCAGGAUCGAUGUUGUACAGACUAGCGUGGAAUCCUCCUGCCUCAGUCUCCAGAGCAUGUUACUGAAGGCAUACCCACCAAGCUUGGCUACAGGACAGACACCCUUCGGACUUCACCAGCUUUUCUCAGCAACGAGGGCUCGGGUUCAAUUCCCAUCACCCUUACGAUGGCUCAUGACCAGAGGAUCUGGCGCCCUCUUUUGAAUUCUGCAGCUGGAAAGAACCGGAAAGACUGUUUACUUCACAUUUAAAGAAGACACCAACAUGUUCGCCACCUCUGGAGAUACAAGGAGAUUCCGGUCAAGACACUGACAGGAGGGGCAAGAACACCAUCAGCUGCUGAGAAAAGGAAGAGAACAAGGGUUCAGGACCCAGCCUCCUCCGACAGAUGCACGGCUCCAGCUUCCUCAAGUCCCGCCAGGGUCCCAAGCUCCUGGAUCCGAGGGCGUUGCUGGGAGCGGAUGUUCUGCUGCGAGAUGGAGCCCAGGAAAGGCCGGUACUUCAGCAUGCGCCAUUCUGAGUGUUGCAGAGGGGGAGGUCGCUGAAGUGGGGUUCCCUCAG
Chionomys nivalis (European snow vole) is the source of this 764-nucleotide long non-coding RNA. RefSeq lists it as uncharacterized. The transcript has 4 exons. NCBI's taxonomy places the organism in Eukaryota, Metazoa, Chordata, Mammalia, Rodentia, Cricetidae. The record is from RefSeq and is a predicted model, not a curated record.